ACUCUUCAUUCAGUGGCGGACGGGUGAGUAAUGCAUCGGAACGUAUCCCGUAGUGGGGGACAACCCAGCGAAAGCUGGGCUAAUACCGCAUAUGCUCUACGGAGGAAAGUGGGGGACCCGCAAGGGCCUCACGCUAUGGGAGCGGCCGAUGUCCGAUUAGCUAGUUGGUGGGGUAAAGGCCUACCAAGGCGACGAUCGGUAGCUGGUCUGAGAGGAUGAUCAGCCUCACUGGGACUGAGACACGGCCCAGACUCCUACGGGAGGCAGCAGUGGGGAAUAUUGGACAAUGGGCGCAAGCCUGAUCCAGCCAUGCCGCGUGGGUGAUGAAGGCCUUAGGG
This 338-nucleotide ribosomal RNA is filed under the name uncultured bacterium. RNAcentral describes it as "bacterial SSU rRNA". It matches the Rfam family "Bacterial small subunit ribosomal RNA", at positions 83 to 422 of the family's 1533-position model. The record is from RNAcentral.